GGGGAUGUAGCUCAACUGGUAGAGCGUUAAUCUUUGCAUGAUGAAGGUACGUGGCUCAACUCCUUGCAUCUCCA
RNAcentral lists this transfer RNA (74 nucleotides) under Setaria italica (foxtail millet). It matches the Rfam family "tRNA". From Rfam's summary of the family: Transfer RNA (tRNA) molecules are approximately 80 nucleotides in length. Their secondary structure includes four short double-helical elements and three loops (D, anti-codon, and T loops). Lineage: Eukaryota; Viridiplantae; Streptophyta; Magnoliopsida; Poales; Poaceae. The record is from Rfam by way of RNAcentral.